Long non-coding RNA from Oenanthe melanoleuca, 1243 nucleotides. RefSeq lists it as uncharacterized. The transcript has 2 exons. The record is from RefSeq and is a predicted model, not a curated record. NCBI's taxonomy places the organism in Eukaryota, Metazoa, Chordata, Aves, Passeriformes, Muscicapidae.
UUGGGGAGGUCGGCGCUGAGGCGGAGGCCGGUCCCUGUCCCGCUCCCUCAUCCGCAGCCCCGCGGGGCGCAGCUCUGCCCGCAGGGCCGACCCUCAGCGCCUGCUGCAGCCCCGCCGUGUCCCUGCGUGUCCCUCAGAGAGCUGGAGCCUUUGGGGGUUCAGCAGGGAGGCGGGAUGUGACCUGUUGCUGGAGGGCUGUGGUGCCUCUCAUCCCACGGAGACGUGCAUCCCACACGGAGGAUUCUCUGCAGCAUCCCGGAGCGAGGGGAUGCUCCAGAGGCCUCACGGAGAGCCGGGAUUGCCGGGGAGGAGCCGUGCGAUGCCCCAGCUGCCUCGUGCAGGGCUGGGAUAACCCGGGACGAGCCGCGGGAUGUGUCCCAGGAGCUUUGUGCAGGGCUGGGAUAACCUGGGCACACUCCUAGGGUUUGUCCCUCACCAGGUGAGUACCCUUGGGGUGUGACACAGCCAUCCGUGCCACAUUCCCAGCGGAUCCCGCCGUGUUUUUUGGGAUGCUCGGGGUCAAGCAUGGCUGGAAGGGGAUUUUUUACAGCAGGUGGAAGGAAGCGUCCAAGGGAACGCUGCUGGAACGCUGGAAGGGAUCGAGCCAACCAUGCCAGGCACUGCCUGCUGGAAAACUCAGUGUCUGUUGCCUUCUGGAAAAAUCCCAGAGGAUGGACAGGAACAGCCUCAGACUGCUGGAACUUUUCCUCCGUGGGCAGCAUUCCCAAGGAGGGGAAGCGCUGUGUCCGACCCCGCUGAGCUGCCAGAAGGGCUGAAAUCCAAGGAUUUAAAGUCCCCGGAGCGCUGCACAACCCCCAGAUCCCCUCCAACAGCUCCUCCGUGGAUAAACAGCCCCCCAAAGUCCACCUGUGGGGUGUCCAGAAGUUCUUUACAUAAAUUUUGGCCUUGGCACAGGAGCAGGAGACUCAGGCAGACCACAAGGAUCAGAAUUUAUUUUAGCUGGAGGUUCAUUGUGAUAUUUUUAGUAAUCCAGUCGCCAUCUGCCGGCAAACUCUGGCUCUUGGGUGGGAAUUUGGGGGAAAUUUGAGGAUUUAAGGGCAGGUUCUGUAAUUACCUGUGUGAAAAUUAAGGGGGGUGGGUUGGAUGCUGAAGGGGCGGUUAAUUUUUGAGUGAGGAAAAGGAAAUGCAAAUCCCACCACAAAAACUUUUGUAUGGCUCGGAGCUCAAAGAACAUUGGAGUGGUGAAUAUCUUGAAUAUAAAAGAGAAAGGUUUAAGAAAUUA